AGGAAGACCUGUGUGACAAGCGACGAGGUCCUAAAAGAUGAAGUAUAAGUGUUGACAAAUAGAAAAAGUGUUGGGACGGUGAGACCCGUCCAACGAAAAGAAAUUGUAUUUCGCCUGCUGAUGCUCUGAAAGGCGGUGUGAGGAACGAUGUUGAGGCAGAGACUGAAAGACAACCUGCCAUGGAUUAUGAAUACUAUAUGUUUGGAGUGCCUGGGUCCUGGGCAACCGAGGGCAUUCAGAUCGUUGUAUGACUUUAUCUGAAUGGAAGAUCUGAUGGUGCUUUUUGUCUCUAAAAAAAAUUUGAAUGGACCAAAAUGAACGUUUUUGUUUUGAUUUGAAAGAUGAAAAAAAUAUAAAAUUAAAAUAAACGGACAUCACAUAUUGUAUAAUUAUCUAUGCCGUUUUCUCUUCGCCAUCGUCUAUGAGGUAUCGCCGAUAAGGUCUUAUCCCAUGCCUGAUCUCUUCCUCUCUGGUCGAUUUCUCUCACGUAUAUCCUUAUCUCUCAGAUCUGACCGCCGCCGCUACCAUUGUUCUUCGCCGAAACUUUGGGUUUCUGGAUGGGAGUUGAUACCUAAUUUAUCCAUAUCAUUUGCACGUUUGAUUGAGGUUUUGGAGGACUUUAGGCCACUGUCCAGCUGCAUCCGGGGUUUUUUAGCAUAUUUUUUUUGGUUGGAUUACUUAAUUGAAGUUUGGAAGUGAUUUUGGACCAAACUAAAUUGAAGUUGGGAAGUGAUUUUGGACCAAGCUACUUUUGGUAAUUUUGUUUGAGAUAUUGGGAGUGAAUUUUAUGUUUGAUUUAAGUCUUAAUUAUGUAAGCUAAUUGUAAUAUAUAUAUAUAUAGGGGGCUUGAUUUAAGAAUUUCAAUGUGUAAGUUAAAGAGAAGUUUUGGUUGCUAAUUUUUUUGUGCUUAAUCUUGAGCUAUAUAAUCUUAUUACUGGAAUCGCCCUUGAAUCAGAUAACAUAGCUAAUAUGGCAGUGUUUGAUUUGGAUUGGAUAAGAUUGAGAAGCAUGAUAUGUUAUGUGAAUAAAGCAAUUUUAAGAGCGUGAUAUCAUUUGUAUGUGAUCAAUAUGAUUAUGACCUUGAGACAUGUACCAUGAUUUAUGUUGUGAAUGUCAUUGAUACUACGAUAAAUGUCAUGAUAGGAAAGUGUCAGUUUUCCCUCCUAACACCAUGAUAUUACAACUCUGUGAGCCAUUAGAUCACAAUCAUAUUACAGCUCCGUGGACCGAUAGGUUAACAACCACACUGUAGAUUCGUGGACUGAUGGGUCCACAACUACAUUACAGCUCUGUGGACCGACAGGUUCACAACCAUAUUACAACUCUAUGGACCGACGGUUCACAACUAUAUUAAAGUCCAUGGACCGACGGGUUCACAACCACAUUACAGCUCUGUGGACUGAUGGGUUCACAAGGUGGACCAAUGGAUUCACAACCAUAUUAUAGCUCCGUGAGCUGACAGGUUCACAACCAUAUUACCUUCGUGAGCCAACGGGUUUGUGGACCGAUGAGUUCACAACCAUAUUAGAGCUCCAUGGACCAAUGGAUUCACAACCAUAUUAUAGCUCCAUGAGUCGAUAGGUUCACAAUGAUAUUACAGCUCCAUGAGGCAACAUGGUCACUCUUAUGUUGUUAGGGAAGCUUUUAGGCCACCAGAUAUGCGUUAGGCUGGGUUAAACCGUUCACUAGACGACCAUCCACGAAUGGUUGAAUUAUGCAUGUCUCACUAGUAUAUUUGCAUUUAUAGGACAUAAAUGCACAGUCUGACCCUCUGGUAGUGGGUUAUUUACUGAGUAUUUUUACACUCAUCCUUUCUU
Benincasa hispida (wax gourd) is the source of this 1817-nucleotide non-coding RNA. The record is from RefSeq and is a predicted model, not a curated record. Lineage: Eukaryota; Viridiplantae; Streptophyta; Magnoliopsida; Cucurbitales; Cucurbitaceae.